UACGGAGGAUCCAAGCGUUAUCCGGAUUCAUUGGGUUUAAAGGGUGCGUAGGCGGCUUAUUAAGUCAGUGGUGAAAUCCCGAGGCUCAACUUCGGAACUGCCAUUGAUACUGAUAAGCUUGAGUGUAAAUGAAGUGGGCGGAAUGUGUCGUGUAGCGGUGAAAUGCUUAGAUAUGACACAGAACACCGAUUGCGAAGGCAGCUCACUAAACUACAACCGACGCUGAGGCACGAAAGCGUGGGGAUCAAACAGG
This 253-nucleotide ribosomal RNA is filed under the name uncultured bacterium. RNAcentral's name for it is "partial 16S ribosomal RNA". It matches the Rfam family "Bacterial small subunit ribosomal RNA", at positions 524 to 776 of the family's 1533-position model. The record is from RNAcentral.